AUGCAAGUCGUACGAGAGUUUUUAACUCUAGUGGCGGACGGGUGAGUAACACGUGAGAAUUUGCCUUUAGGAGGGGGAUAACAAUUGGAAACAAAUGCUAAUACCCCAUAUGCUUUAGAGUGAAAUGGAUUUAUAUUUAUCCGCCUAGAGAGAAGCUCGCGGCUGAUUAGCUUGUUGGUGAGGUAAGAGCUUACCAAGGCGACGAUCAGUAUCUGGUUUGAGAGGACGAUCAGACACACUGGAACUGAGACACGGUCCAGACUCCUACGGGAGGCAGCAGUGGGGAAUUUUCCGCAAUGGGCGAAAGCCUGACGGAGCAAUACCGCGUGAGGGAAGACUGCCUAUGGGUUGUAAACCUCUUUUUUCAGGGAGGAAUCAUUGACGUGUACCUGAAGAAUAAGCAUCGGCUAACUCCGUGCCAGCAGCCGCGGUAAGACGGAGGAUGCAAGUGUUAUCCGGAAUCACUGGGCGUAAAGCGUCUGUAGGUGGUUUAAUAAGUCAACUGUUAAAUCUUGAGGCUUAACUUCAAAAUCGCAGUCGAAACUAUUAGACUAGAGUAUAGUAGGGGUAAAGGGAAUUUCCAGUGGAGCGGUGAAAUGCGUAGAUAUUGGAAAGAACACCGAUGGCGAAAGCACUUUACUGGGCUAUUACUAACACUCAGAGACGAAAGCUAGGGUAGCAAAUGGGAUUAGAUACCCCAGUAGUCCUAGCCGUAAACAAUGGAUACUAGAUGUUGAACAGAUCGACCUGUGCAGUAUCAAAGCUAACGCGUUAAGUAU
This 779-nucleotide ribosomal RNA is filed under the name uncultured cyanobacterium. RNAcentral's name for it is "bacterial SSU rRNA". It matches the Rfam family "Bacterial small subunit ribosomal RNA", at positions 55 to 867 of the family's 1533-position model. Lineage: Bacteria; Bacillati; Cyanobacteriota. The record is from RNAcentral.